UUGACCUCGGAUCAGGUAGGGAUACCCGCUGAACUUAAGCAUAUCAAUAAGCGGAGGAAAAGAAACCAACAGGGAUUGCCUCAGUAACGGCGAGUGAAGCGGCAAGAGCUCAAAUU
This 116-nucleotide ribosomal RNA is filed under the name Penicillium sp. FF20. Its description in RNAcentral is "partial 28S ribosomal RNA". It matches the Rfam family "Eukaryotic large subunit ribosomal RNA", at positions 1 to 115 of the family's 3401-position model. The record is from RNAcentral. Lineage: Eukaryota; Fungi; Ascomycota; Eurotiomycetes; Eurotiales; Aspergillaceae. RNAcentral also lists the same sequence under 1 other name.